ACAACAAUUAGAUACGCUCAAAUAGAUGUAUCAUCUACAACUUCUGAGGAGCACAAUUAGUAUCUCCCUUGGAUAUAUCAUUAAUUAUCAGACUUCUUGGACAAAUAAGCUUGCGAAGCCUCUUCAAUAGUGUCAAGAGUGCAUAACCGUACUUUCUUAUGCCUAAUUCGGUCUGUAAUCAAAGCACCAUAUCUCCCGUUCUUUUGCUAACGGAUGGAGCUCCAUAGCUCAUUUGAAACUUCACAACACAAUAUAGCAUGAGAUUUUGCAAGUUUUAGGUAGUAUAGUGCAAUCUUUUUUACGAGAAUCGGUUCAGGUAUUUUAAGGUAAUCCUUUUUUUCUUUUGGCAUGGUUCAAAGAUACAAAUGAAACGAGCAAAAUACGCAACUUUCAUAAAUGACUCUAUUCAUAGAAAUACUAGGGGUUUCUUUAUUCUUGAUUCCCCAUGUGAAUUAUUAUUAUAUCUUAUGUUCAUGGGUCUCAGAAAAAUACGCAUUUGAUAAAGUUUCUCCGAAAGUCAUACUGAUUUUAAUGACAUUCCGAGAAAUCUUAUUAAUAUAUUUCUUAUGCAUUUCAUGCAUUUGUACAUAUACAUUGACCCAUGACCAGAUGACGUUAUAUACGUGUAUAUUAUAUGUAUACGGGAUAUGAGAAAAGGUUAUGGCGUUAAAUAUGCACCACCACCUGAUCAGCUUGUAUACAUUGAUGAUGUUGCCCACAGUGGUUGAAAUGAUAUGAUGGGAUGCCCUCAGAGGCUUGAUGAUGUUAUGAACGCAUAUACCCAUGCAUGGUAUGACAUUUAUACGCAUNNNNNNNNNNNNNNNNNNNNNNNNNNNNNNNNNNNNNNNNNNNUUCCUUACAUACUCGGUAUAUUAUUUGUACUGACGUCCAUUUGGCUUGGGGACGCUGCGUUUUAUGCCCUCAUGUCUCGAUAGACAGGUCGAGAGUCCUCCAAGUAGGCGAUCAGCUCAGCGGAAGAUGUUGGUGCACUCCAUUUACUCCUGAGUUGCUUGUUUGGUCAGUAUAAUUUAGAUGUGUAUUGUUUGGUAUGACGGGGCUUUGUCCCGAACUUUAUGACAUUUAUGCACUCUUAGAGGCUUGUAGACAUAUGUCGUAUACGUGAAAGAUUGUACGGCCUUGUCGGCCUAUGUUUUGAGUUUAUAAAUGAUCAUGUUAGCCUUAUAGACCCAUAUAUCAUGUGUAUAUGAUGAUGUAAUAAGAAAGAUACGUUAUAUUUGUACCCGGUUGAGUAAGGUACCGGGUGCCCGUCGCGACCCAUCGGUUUGGGUCAUGAUAGCUUAUGUACUCACGCUACACUUCUGUACUAACCGUGCAGGAUCUGAGGCAAAUGCAUCUGGCGGUCAUACCGGCGCGCGUCCCAGAUAUCCCGAGGUCUAGUGGUCAGCUGCUUCCCGAGCAGUUAUGCAAUUCCUAGAGUCUCUAUUCUGUAUUUAUAUUUUGUCUACUCUAUUUCGGACAGUAGCUAGAGUUUUGUAUAUUUUAAUAGUUGCUCAUAAACUUGUGACACCAGGUCUUGGAAAUUAUACUAGUAGACACAUGUUGAUUUUGAUUAUCUAUUUCCUCUCAUUUACUCUUAAAUAGUCUAUUGGGUCGUGAUAGCUUAUGUACUCACGCUACACUUCUACACUAACCGUGCAGGAUCUGAGGCAAGUGCAUCUGGGGGUCAUACCGGCGCGCGUCCCAGAUAUUCCGAGGUCUAGUGGUGAGCUGCUUCCCGAGCAGUUAUGCAGUUCCUAGAGUCUCUCUUCUGUAUUUAUAUUUUGUCUACUCUAUUUCGGACAGUAGCUAGAGUUUUGUAUAUUUUAAUAGUUGCUCAUAAACUUGUGACACCAGGUCUUGAAAAUUAUGCUAGUAGACACAUGUUAAUUUUGAUUAUCUAUUUCCUCUCAUUUACUCUUAAACAGUC
This 1927-nucleotide long non-coding RNA is filed under the name Nicotiana tabacum (common tobacco). RNAcentral describes it as "long non-coding RNA (NTAB_LNC006803)". Lineage: Eukaryota; Viridiplantae; Streptophyta; Magnoliopsida; Solanales; Solanaceae. The record is from RNAcentral.